Molecule: long non-coding RNA, 1263 nt
Organism: Gadus macrocephalus (Pacific cod)
Lineage: Eukaryota; Metazoa; Chordata; Actinopteri; Gadiformes; Gadidae
Exons: 2
Source: RefSeq, a predicted model, not a curated record
UCUGAGUUCCCCUAGAACGUCAUUUUGGCUCAAAGUAUCCCCAAGUAUCUUAAGGGUAUAAAGGUGACUGAGAAUACAUGACACAAACGAUUCAUUAUCAUCGUUAUUGCAUAGCAUUUCCUACACGUUAAAAACAUGCUAAAAACUGAAUAGCAACAUGCUAAUUGCUGAAUCAGGAUUAUAUGCCAUCAGGCAUGAUCAAGGUAUGAUAAUUGGAGAUAAUCAUUCAACGGGAUAACAUUUGGGUUGGAGCCUAAUCUGUUGCCUAAUCCUCUUCAAGGAAAAGGAAUCCCAGUCGCAUACAUUGUCUUCAGAGCUAUAGGGGCCACCACAGUAAUCAUCCGUGCAUAGUAAAGGGGACCUUUCGCCGUGCCUCACUAGUCUGCACUCUCUAUUGAACCUGAUCCCUUUCUCCCUCAGUCUCCCCCACGUCUCCGAACGCCACCAAGGUGGUGGUCACCGCCAGCGUCCUGUUAGCGGCCGCCUUCGCCUUCAUCGCCUUCAUGGUGUACAAGCGCUACAAGAUGUACCAGCCCGUGGACCGGACGGCCGCGGGGGGCCACAUGGGCCGUCUGAGGCAGACCUUCUUCCCCACCAACGAGGAGCGUUACCACCUGCUGACCGACAGGCACCCCCUGUAGUCCCUCGCCCACUCGCUCCGUGUGUCCUCUGAUUCAGCCACAGCCACUCGGGAGCUCUGUGUGUCUCAAUGGAGCCACUACGUGUGGCAAGUUAGUUACAUAACAGGCACGGAGGUUAUCAGAUUGGAGGAUUGUUUUUUUGUAUGGAUAUACUCAUUUGACUUCCUUGUUUAUAUGGUGGAUUAUUCUGAAUGCGGCUUUGAAUGUUUUGGACUGAAGUAUUUGAGUGCAGUGUGUGUGAAGCAGCUAAAGAUGCAUUUAGUUUAUCCUACCCUAGAUUUGCAUUGAGUGGCGAUAAAACAAGAGAUAGGGAUGUUUAAGCACUAUAAAGAUUGUGAAGUUCAUUUAUUUCAACCUUGCAUAUAGAAACAUUUUAAGGGGUGAAAUUUAGCCACCAGUUGUGGACCACUGAGGUCACUAAAACACGGGACGAUUUUCAUGGCUCUUCACUCACCUGGUGGUGUAACAUCACCCCUAUAAAGACUAUUACCACUUAUGUUUAGAUUUACCACUUAUGUUUAGAUUUACCUUUAUGAAUUAUAUUGUUAGAAAUUGAGUCAUUUACUUGAAAAAGCUACAGGAGAACUGAAAUGGGUUCCAAUAAAAUGUUUUCCUAACCCCA